AAGAAGGUAGCUUAAAUUUAAAGCUAGGCAUUGAAGAUGCCUCGAUAGGGUUUCCCUCCUUCUUA
This 65-nucleotide transfer RNA is filed under the name Placida sp. 1 NY-2013. RNAcentral describes it as "tRNA-Phe". It matches the Rfam family "tRNA". From Rfam's summary of the family: Transfer RNA (tRNA) molecules are approximately 80 nucleotides in length. Their secondary structure includes four short double-helical elements and three loops (D, anti-codon, and T loops). Lineage: Eukaryota; Metazoa; Mollusca; Gastropoda; Limapontiidae. The record is from RNAcentral.